AACGAACGCUGGCGGCAUGCCUAACACAUGCAAGUCGAACGAGACCUUCGGGUCUAGUGGCGCACGGGUGCGUAACGCGUGGGAACCUGCCCUUAGGUCCGGAAUAACUCCCCGAAAGGGGUGCUAAUACCGGCUAAUGUCUUCGGACCAAAGAUUUAUCGCCUUUGGAUGGGCCGGCGUUGGAUUAGCUAGUUGGUAGGGUAAAAGCCUACCAAGGCGACGAUCCAUAGCUGGUCUGAGAGGAUGAUCAGCCACACUGGGACUGAGACACGGCCCAGACUCCUACGGGAGGCAGCAGUGGGGAAUAUUGGACAAUGGGCGAAAGCCUGAUCCAGCAAUGCCGCGUGAGUGAUGAAGGCCUUAGGGUUGUAAAGCUCUUUUACCCGGGAUGAUAAUGACAGUACCGGGAGAAUAAGCUCCGGCUAACUCCGUG
Molecule: ribosomal RNA, 433 nt
Filed under: uncultured bacterium
Lineage: Bacteria
Description: partial 16S ribosomal RNA
Rfam family: Bacterial small subunit ribosomal RNA
Source: RNAcentral